This 467-nucleotide ribosomal RNA is filed under the name Clostridioides difficile. RNAcentral's name for it is "bacterial LSU rRNA". It matches the Rfam family "Bacterial large subunit ribosomal RNA", at positions 292 to 762 of the family's 2925-position model. The record is from RNAcentral. Lineage: Bacteria; Bacillati; Bacillota; Clostridia; Peptostreptococcales; Peptostreptococcaceae.
UUGGGGUUGCGGACAUAUCAUAACGAAGAGGUAUCGUAAUUGAAGAGGUUUGGAAAGACCCACCACAGAAGGUAAUAGUCCUGUAUGUUAAACGAGAAGACUUUAGAUAUGAUCCAGAGUACCACGGGACACGUGAAACCCUGUGGGAAGCAGGAGGGACCACCCUCCAAGGCUAAAUACUACCUAGUGACCGAUAGCGUAUAGUACCGUGAGGGAAAGGUGAAAAGAACCCCGGGAGGGGAGGGAAAUAGAACCUGAAACCCUGCACUUACAAGCUGUGGAAGCACAUUUCUUGUGUGACCGCGUACUUUUUGUAGAACGGGCCAACGAGUUACGUUAAGUAGCAAGGUUAAGCACUUAAGGUGUGGAGCCGUAGCGAAAGCGAGUUUUAACUGAGCGUUCAGUUACUUGACGUAGACCCGAAACCGGGCGACCUACCCAUGAGCAGGAUGAAGCGAAAGUAAAAU